This 86-nucleotide microRNA precursor is filed under the name human gammaherpesvirus 4 (Epstein-Barr virus). RNAcentral's name for it is "Human gammaherpesvirus 4 (Epstein-Barr virus) miR-BART7". It matches the Rfam family "mir-BART7 microRNA precursor family". The record is from RNAcentral. Lineage: Duplodnaviria; Heunggongvirae; Peploviricota; Herviviricetes; Herpesvirales; Orthoherpesviridae.
UCCAGUGUCCUGAUCCUGGACCUUGACUAUGAAACAAUUCUUAAAAAAUGCAUCAUAGUCCAGUGUCCAGGGACAGUGCACUCGGA